This 547-nucleotide ribosomal RNA is filed under the name Rhacophorus vampyrus (vampire flying frog). Its description in RNAcentral is "partial 16S ribosomal RNA". It matches the Rfam family "Bacterial large subunit ribosomal RNA", at positions 1817 to 2597 of the family's 2925-position model. The record is from RNAcentral. Lineage: Eukaryota; Metazoa; Chordata; Amphibia; Anura; Rhacophoridae.
CGCCUCCUGCUUCUUAUAGGAGGUCCAGCCUGCCCGGUGAAAACUUUAACGGCCGCGGUACCCUGACCGCGCGAAGGUAGCAUAAUCGCUUGUUCUUUAAUUGGGGACUUGUAUCAACGGCAUCACGAGGGUUGCACUGUCUCCUCCCCCCAAUCGGUGAAACUGAUCUCCCCGUGAAGAAGCGGGGAUACCACUAUAAGACGAGAAGACCCCAUGGAGCUUUAAAUUUGCUGCAGCUCUGCCAUGUAGUUCCAGAGUCCGCGGAGCCAUGCACGUCAAUUUUCGGUUGGGGUGACCGCGGAGUAAAAUCUAACCUCCGCGACGGAAAGAACUAAAUCUUUAUCUAAGAGCCACUACUCUAAGAAUUAGCACACUAACGUACAAUGACCCGAUAACAGAUCAACGAACCAAGUUACCCUGGGGAUAACAGCGCAAUCUACUUCGAGAGCCCAUAUCGACAAGUAGGUUUACGACCUCGAUGUUGGAUCAGGGCAUCCCAGUGGUGCAGCCGCUACUAAAGGUUCGUUUGUUCAACGAUUAAAGCCCU